ACUGAACGCUGGCGGCAUGCUUUACACAUGCAAGUCGAACGGUAACAGGUUAAGCUGACGAGUGGCGAACGGGCGAGUAAUGCAUCGGAACGUGCCCGGUCGUGGGGGAUAACGCAGCGAAAGCUGCGCUAAUACCGCAUACGAUCUGAGGAUGAAAGCGGGGGACCGUAAGGCCUCGCGCGAUCGGAGCGGCCGAAGUCAGAGUAGGUAGUUGGUGGGGUAAAGGCUCACCAAGCCGACGAUCUGUAGCUGGUCUGAGAGGACGACCAGGCACACUGGGACUGAGACACGGCCCAGACUCCUACGGGAGGCAGGAGUGGGGAAUUUUGGACAAUGGGCGCAAGCCUGAUCCAGCAAUGCCGCGUGCAGGAAGAAGGCCUUCGGGUUGUAAACUGCUUUUGUACGGAGCGAAAAGGCUCUCUCUAAUACAGGGGGCUGAUGACGGUACCGUAAGAAUAAGCACCGGCUAACUACGUGCCAGCCGCCGCUGUAA
This 493-nucleotide ribosomal RNA is filed under the name uncultured bacterium. RNAcentral describes it as "partial 16S ribosomal RNA". It matches the Rfam family "Bacterial small subunit ribosomal RNA", at positions 30 to 523 of the family's 1533-position model. The record is from RNAcentral.